Molecule: small nucleolar RNA, 105 nt
Organism: Cynocephalus volans (Philippine flying lemur)
Lineage: Eukaryota; Metazoa; Chordata; Mammalia; Dermoptera; Cynocephalidae
Product: small nucleolar RNA U13
Exons: 1
Source: RefSeq, a predicted model, not a curated record
AUUCUUUUGUGGUUCAUAAGCAUUUUGAUUGGGUUUUCAUGCUAUUGUGUGAGAUGUGCCUCUCUGUAAACCUUGUUAUAACAUCAGCACAUUAACCAUCUGAUG